Molecule: ribosomal RNA, 1032 nt
Filed under: Pedobacter sp.
Lineage: Bacteria; Pseudomonadati; Bacteroidota; Sphingobacteriia; Sphingobacteriales; Sphingobacteriaceae
Description: bacterial SSU rRNA
Rfam family: Bacterial small subunit ribosomal RNA
Source: RNAcentral
UGCAGUCGAACGAUACCUUCCAGCUUGCUGGAGGGAAAAGUGGCGCACGGGUGCGUAACGCGUAUGCAACCUACCUUAAUCAGGGGGAUAGCCCGGAGAAAUCCGGAUUAACACCGCAUAAAAACACAGGAUAGCAUUAUCCAAUGUUCAAAUAUUUAUAGGAUUAAGAUGGGCAUGCGUGUCAUUAGCUAGUUGGCGGGGUAACGGCCCACCAAGGCGACGAUGACUAGGGGAUCUGAGAGGAUGACCCCCCACACUGGUACUGAGACACGGACCAGACUCCUACGGGAGGCAGCAGUAAGGAAUAUUGGUCAAUGGAGGCAACUCUGAACCAGCCAUGCCGCGUGCAGGAAGACUGCCCUAUGGGUUGUAAACUGCUUUUAUCCGGGAAUAAACCUCUUUACGUGUAGAGAGCUGAAUGUACCGGAAGAAUAAGGAUCGGCUAACUCCGUGCCAGCAGCCGCGGUAAUACGGAGGAUCCAAGCGUUAUCCGGAUUUAUUGGGUUUAAAGGGUGCGUAGGCGGCCUGUUAAGUCAGGGGUGAAAGACGGUAGCUCAACUAUCGCAGUGCCCUUGAUACUGAUGGGCUUGAAUGGACUAGAGGUAGGCGGAAUGAGACAAGUAGCGGUGAAAUGCAUAGAUAUGUCUCAGAACACCGAUUGCGAAGGCAGCUUACUAUGGUCUUAUUGACGCUGAGGCACGAAAGCGUGGGGAUCAAACAGGAUUAGAUACCCUGGUAGUCCACGCCCUAAACGAUGAACACUCGCUGUUGGCGAUACACAGUCAGCGGCUAAGCGAAAGCGUUAAGUGUUCCACCUGGGGAGUACGGUCGCAAGAUUGAAACUCAAAGGAAUUGACGGGGGCCCGCACAAGCGGAGGAGCAUGUGGUUUAAUUCGAUGAUACGCGAGGAACCUUACCCGGGCUUGAAAGUUAGUGAAUGAUUUAGAGAUAGAUCAGUCCGCAAGGACACGAAACUAGGUGCUGCAUGGCUGUCGUCAGCUCGUGCCGUGAGGUGUUGGGUUAAGUCCCGCA